Molecule: ribosomal RNA, 480 nt
Filed under: Escherichia coli
Lineage: Bacteria; Pseudomonadati; Pseudomonadota; Gammaproteobacteria; Enterobacterales; Enterobacteriaceae
Description: partial 23S ribosomal RNA
Rfam family: Bacterial large subunit ribosomal RNA
Source: RNAcentral
UGUGAGGCAUGCUGGAGGUAUCAGAAGUGCGAAUGCUGACAUAAGUAACGAUAAAGCGGGUGAAAAGCCCGCUCGCCGGAAGACCAAGGGUUCCUGUCCAACGUUAAUCGGGGCAGGGUGAGUCGACCCCUAAGGCGAGGCCGAAAGGCGUAGUCGAUGGGAAACAGGUUAAUAUUCCUGUACUUGGUGUUACUGCGAAGGGGGGACGGAGAAGGCUAUGUUGGCCGGGCGACGGUUGUCCCGGUUUAAGCGUGUAGGCUGGUUUUCCAGGCAAAUCCGGAAAAUCAAGGCUGAGGCGUGAUGACGAGGCACUACGGUGCUGAAGCAACAAAUGCCCUGCUUCCAGGAAAAGCCUCUAAGCAUCAGGUAACAUCAAAUCGUACCCCAAACCGACACAGGUGGUCAGGUAGAGAAUACCAAGGCGCUUGAGAGAACUCGGGUGAAGGAACUAGGCAAAAUGGUGCCGUAACUUCGGGAGAA